Molecule: ribosomal RNA, 589 nt
Filed under: Salmonella enterica subsp. enterica serovar Bredeney
Lineage: Bacteria; Pseudomonadati; Pseudomonadota; Gammaproteobacteria; Enterobacterales; Enterobacteriaceae
Description: partial 23S ribosomal RNA
Rfam family: Bacterial large subunit ribosomal RNA
Source: RNAcentral
GCCGGAGGGAAACCGAGUCUUAAUUGGGCGUUAAGUUGCAGGGUAUAGACCCGAAACCCGGUGAUCUAGCCAUGGGCAGGUUGAAGGUUGGGUAACACUAACUGGAGGACCGAACCGACUAAUGUUGAAAAAUUAGCGGAUGACCUGUGGCUGGGGGUGAAAGGCCAAUCAAACCGGGAGAUAGCUGGUUCUCCCCGAAAGCUAUUUAGGUAGCGCCUCGUGAAUUCAUCUCCGGGGGUAGAGCACUGUUUCGGCUAGGGGGCCAUCCCGGCUUACCAACCCGAUGCAAACUGCGAAUACCGGAGAAUGUUAUCACGGGAGACACACGGCGGGUGCUAACGUCCGUCGUGAAGAGGGAAACAACCCAGACCGCCAGCUAAGGUCCCAAAGUCAUGGUUAAGUGGGAAACGAUGUGGGAAGGCCCAGACAGCCAGGAUGUUGGCUUAGAAGCAGCCAUCAUUUAAAGAAAGCGUAAUAGCUCACUGGUCGAGUCGGCCUGCGCGGAAGAUGUAACGGGGCUAAACCAUGCACCGAAGCUGCGGCAGCGACGCUGAUGCGUUGUUGGGUAGGGGAGCGUUCUGUAAGCCUG